UUUCAAGUCACUUAACUGCAUCCUAGAAUGAACUCAAGUAUAUUUAUAGGAAUACAAUAAUGUACAGCCCUCAACAAGAGAAAUUUCACGAAGCUUGGCACACAUUCAAGAAUAACGAGGCAUGCAAAGAAGUAGGACAAAUGCAACCAUAAUACAGAGAAAAGCCAAUCAAACAGACCCAGUAAUGACACUGAUGAUGGAGUUAGUAGACAAGGCCAUUAAAACAGUCAUUAUAACUGCGUUCCAUAUGUUUGAGAAACUUGAACGUGAUAAGUAGAGACAUGGAAGAUAAUUUUGUUGCCUGGGCUUACCCUUCAGACUCUGCUUCUUGAACAGUGUCAGUGGCUGUAAUCUCAGUUCAGAUCUUUCAUCUUUAACUGAGCUGCUUUGAGUCUUCUGCAUAGGUGUGGUUUGAGAGUCGGUCAGACUGGGUACACAGAAUGGCCCCCACCACCGCAAUUCUCUUCAGUGUUCAUAGUAGUCCAGCUGUGUGCACUAUAUGGAGCCACAGAGAUGGGACCUUUCCUGGGCAACUUCUCAUCUCCCCUGUCCAGGUACACUGGAACCAACUGGAAGAGCACUAAAUUGUCAAAGCUGGAACAUUUUGAGCAACAAAAUAAAUAAAGUAGUAUAGAGUGAUAGCCUAAUGUGUAAA
This 655-nucleotide long non-coding RNA is filed under the name Homo sapiens (human). RNAcentral describes it as "HSALNT0230476". The record is from RNAcentral. Lineage: Eukaryota; Metazoa; Chordata; Mammalia; Primates; Hominidae.